GACGAACGCUGGCGGCGUGCUUAACACAUGCAAGUCGAACGGAAAGGCCCCUUUGGGGGUACUCGAGUGGCGAACGGGCGAGUAACACGUGAGUAACCUGCCCUUGACUUCGGGAUAACUACAGGAAACUGGGGCUAAUACCGGAUAGGAAUGCUUGCUGCAUGGAGGGGGGUGGAAAGCUUCGGGGGGUUUUGGUGGACUGGCGGCUUAUUAGCUUGUUGGUGGGGGAGUGGCUUACCAAGGCAUUGACGGGUAGGCGGCCUGAGGGGGCGACCGGCCACCUUGGGGCUGGGAUUCCGCCCAGACUCCCACCGGGGGCAGCAGUGGGGAAUAUUGCCCAAUGGGCGGGAGCCUGAUUCAGCAACGCCGCGUGCGGGAUGACGGCCUUCGGGUUGGAAACCGCUUUCAGCAGGGGCGAAGCUUGUGGUGACGGUACCUGCAGAAGAAGCACCGGCUAACUACGUG
RNAcentral lists this ribosomal RNA (465 nucleotides) under uncultured bacterium. RNAcentral describes it as "partial 16S ribosomal RNA". It matches the Rfam family "Bacterial small subunit ribosomal RNA", at positions 28 to 507 of the family's 1533-position model. The record is from RNAcentral.